Long non-coding RNA from Malus domestica (apple), 1812 nucleotides. RefSeq lists it as uncharacterized. The record is from RefSeq and is a predicted model, not a curated record. Lineage: Eukaryota; Viridiplantae; Streptophyta; Magnoliopsida; Rosales; Rosaceae.
UAUCAACCAUUCAAGAUUCAACGCCACCAAAUCUUCUCUCCACCCCCCCCCCCAACUCCCGACCUCUUCUCCAGAUUUACGCUCCAUGGAUUGUUUUCGCUGUCGAUUCCAUCGGAUUCGCGUCGAUCGUCUAGAGAUCUACGCGUUGACGGUGGUUUGAGAUUGUGAGGUGAUGGAUUGAGCUGCUUUUGAAUUCAGCUGCUUUCACCAGCGCGAGCUUCUGUGUUCGCCGAUCUUCGAUUCGGAUUUACAGAUUUCGCAGACGGAGAUCUAACCAUAUCAGAAGGACGCGACAUCGUUUCAGCUGCUGAUCUCCUGGUGGCUGAAGAACAUCUAUCAGACGAUUCACAUGUAAUCUUGAUCGAGGGUCAUGAUUGUAAUUUCAUGAGUGUAGCCGGAAGAUUGUGGGGGUUUUGGGUUGGGAGUAUUGGUUGAAUUGGAUGGAUGUAUAAGAUAUCGGGACGAAAGGCUCGGUGGAAGGGCCGAGUCCUGGACCGAUCUUUGUCAUCCGACCUUUGCCAUGACAGGUGCGCUUGCAUGGCGGGUCAAAAAAAUAUCUCAAUAAAAAAUAACGAAUUUUUGGUUUUGAGGGGAGACAGCAUGGGUUUGUUUUGCCCAGGGUCUCUCCUCCGGUGUGGUGUGCGCUCUCUGUCUUUGUCUUUUUGUUCCAUGUUUCAAUUUUGCUUGCCGCCAACUGCAAACAGUCGGACAUGGAUUCCGGACAACUACAAAUGCAUCGAUAUCUCGCCUCCAAAGGUAUUAUCUGACAGCCUAUUUCAAUUGAUUUGCACAGGAAACAUAUAAUCACGUGCACGAUUAAUUAGGUCUCAUUCUCACAUGUGGGAUUAAUCUAAUUUUGUAUACACUAUGAAGCCUUCAAUCGAUAUAACCUAUAAUUCUUGGAGCUUAGGGAUUGAUAGAAAGAAUAAUAAUAAUUUUUCAGUUUGCUAAUUGUGGAGUUCUUCAAUCAACUCCUUUAUUUUGAAGGUAAACUGAGUUAUUUAAUCCAGAAAAAAAGCACCUGUAAUUGUUUUAAAGCUAAAUUAAGUUAUUUAAUCUAUAUUUAUUGUUGAGUACAAAUUACAGUAUUUGAUCCAGAAAAAGAACUUUGUAAUUGAAAGAUCCAAAUCAUGACCAAUAAUUACUUGGUAAUUUUACAAUCUACUUAUGCCACACUCUACACAUUCUAUCAUACUACUUGAACAAUUCCCGCUUCCAAAAUCUAUCCGGCUUACUUUUUAAAGUUACCAUUAUGCACUGAUUAUUGCCUCGAUAUUAUUGUACUUACGAAUUCUAUGAGCUGAGAGUAGGAUUGUGUUAUCAUAUACCCUGAAGUGCCUAUUUUGUUAUUGUUUGAUCUCAAUGGAUGUUGCUAGAUAUUUUGAGGUCUGUUAAUGCGUGGCUCUUUGUAAUAUCAUGUAAUUAUGUUGCUUUGGCUGCCAUUGUUGCAAGCCAUGCCUUGUAUUCAAAUUAGACGAUUCUAGGGAAGUUGGCUGCCGGAAGGUCUCUUCUCAAGGAUUCAUAAUAGCCAGAAUGAAGUCUCUCAUAUCAUUUACAAGUUAAUGGAAUUUCUACUCAAAAACAAGCUGUGUGGUCGUGGGGAAGAUCCAAAUUUCGUUACAUUGCAGUCUCUUUUCCCAGAACUUGAGAUGACCAAGGAAACGAGUUGAGCUUCACAAUCUUUUGUCUUUGAAGUUUUAAAUCUCAGCAAGUAAUAUUUUCAGUUAAUUUACCUUAUGUGAUUGAAUCCAUUGUGAGGAUUAUUUCAUGUGCCCAUUAUCAUUUAUUUAUUCUGUUCAUUUGUUCAGUUUA